Molecule: ribosomal RNA, 1106 nt
Filed under: Escherichia coli
Lineage: Bacteria; Pseudomonadati; Pseudomonadota; Gammaproteobacteria; Enterobacterales; Enterobacteriaceae
Description: partial 23S ribosomal RNA
Rfam family: Bacterial large subunit ribosomal RNA
Source: RNAcentral
CGAUGAAGGACGUGCUAAUCUGCGAUAAGCGUCGGUAAGGUGAUAUGAACCGUUAUAACCGGCGAUUUCCGAAUGGGGAAACCCAGUGUGUUUCGACACACUAUCAUUAACUGAAUCCAUAGGUUAAUGAGGCGAACCGGGGGAACUGAAACAUCUAAGUACCCCGAGGAAAAGAAAUCAACCGAGAUUCCCCCAGUAGCGGCGAGCGAACGGGGAGCAGCCCAGAGCCUGAAUCAGUAUGUGUGUUAGUGGAAGCGUCUGGAAAGGCGCGCGAUACAGGGUGACAGCCCCGUACACAAAAAUGCACAUGCUGUGAGCUCGAUGAGUAGGGCGGGACACGUGGUAUCCUGUCUGAAUAUGGGGGGACCAUCCUCCAAGGCUAAAUACUCCUGACUGACCGAUAGUGAACCAGUACCGUGAGGGAAAGGCGAAAAGAACCCCGGCGAGGGGAGUGAAAAAGAACCUGAAACCGUGUACGUACAAGCAGUGGGAGCACGCUUAGGCGUGUGACUGCGUACCUUUUGUAUAAUGGGUCAGCGACUUAUAUUCUGUAGCAAGGUUAACCGAAUAGGGGAGCCGAAGGGAAACCGAGUCUUAACUGGGCGUUAAGUUGCAGGGUAUAGACCCGAAACCCGGUGAUCUAGCCAUGGGCAGGUUGAAGGUUGGGUAACACUAACUGGAGGACCGAACCGACUAAUGUUGAAAAAUUAGCGGAUGACUUGUGGCUGGGGGUGAAAGGCCAAUCAAACCGGGAGAUAGCUGGUUCUCCCCGAAAGCUAUUUAGGUAGCGCCUCGUGAAUUCAUCUCCGGGGGUAGAGCACUGUUUCGGCAAGGGGGUCAUCCCGACUUACCAACCCGAUGCAAACUGCGAAUACCGGAGAAUGUUAUCACGGGAGACACACGGCGGGUGCUAACGUCCGUCGUGAAGAGGGAAACAACCCAGACCGCCAGCUAAGGUCCCAAAGUCAUGGUUAAGUGGGAAACGAUGUGGGAAGGCCCAGACAGCCAGGAUGUUGGCUUAGAAGCAGCCAUCAUUUAAAGAAAGCGUAAUAGCUCACUGGUCGAGUCGGCCUGCGCGGAAGAUGUAACGGGGCUAAACCAUGCAC